GUACACAAAAAUGCACAUAUUGUGAGCUCGAUGAGUAGGGCGGGACACGUGGUAUCCUGUCUGAAUAUGGGGGGACCAUCCUCCAAGGCUAAAUACUCCUGACUGACCGAUAGUGAACCAGUACCGUGAGGGAAAGGCGAAAAGAACCCCGGCGAGGGGAGUGAAAAAGAACCUGAAACCGUGUACGUACAAGCAGUGGGAGCCUCUUAAUGGGGUGACUGCGUACCUUUUGUAUAAUGGGUCAGCGACUUAUAUUCUGUAGCAAGGUUAACCGAAUAGGGGAGCCGAAGGGAAACCGAGUCUUAACUGGGCGUUAAGUUGCAGGGUAUAGACCCGAAACCCGGUGAUCUAGCCAUGGGCAGGUUGAAGGUUGGGUAACACUAACUGGAGGACCGAACCGACUAAUGUUGAAAAAUUAGCGGAUGACUUGUGGCUGGGGGUGAAAGGCCAAUCAAACCGGGAGAUAGCUGGUUCUCCCCGAAAGCUAUUUAGGUAGCGCCUCGUGAAUUCAUCUCCGGGGGUAGAGCACUGUUUCGGCAAGGGGGUCAUCCCGACUUACCAACCCGAUGCAAACUGCGAAUACCGGAGAAUGUUAUCACGGGAGACACACGGCGGGUGCUAACGUCCGUCGUGAAGAGGGAAACAACCCAGACCGCCAGCUAAGGUCCCAAAGUCAUGGUUAAGUGGGAAACGAUGUGGGAAGGCCCAGACAGCCAGGAUGUUGGCUUAGAAGCAGCCAUCAUUUAAAGAAAGCGUAAUAGCUCACUGGUCGAGUCGGCCUGCGCGGAAGAUGUAACGGGGCUAAACCAUGCACCGAAGCUGCGGCAGCGACACUAUGUGUUGUUGGGUAGGGGAGCGUUCUGUAAGCCUGUGAAGGUGGCCUGUGAGGGUUGCUGGAGGUAUCAGAAGUGCGAAUGCUGACAUAAGUAACGAUAAAGCGGGUGAAAAGCCCGCUCGCCGGAAGACCAAGGGUUCCUGUCCAACGUUAAUCGGGGCAGGGUGAGUCGACCCCUAAGGCGAGGCCGAAAGGCGUAGUCGAUGGGAAACAGGUUAAUAUUCCUGUACUUGGUGUUACUGCGAAGGGGGGACGGAGAAGGCUAUGUUGGCCGGGCGACGGUUGUCCCGGUUUAAGCGUGUAGGCUGGUUUUCCAGGCAAAUCCGGAAAACCAAGGCUGAGGCGUGAUGACGAGGCACUACGGUGCUGAAGCGACAAAUGCCCUGCUUCCAGGAAAAGCCUCUAAGCAUCAGGUAACAUCAAAUCGUACCCCAAACCGACACAGGUGGUCAGGUAGAGAAUACCAAGGCGCUUGAGAGAACUCGGGUGAAGGAACUAGGCAAAAUGGUGCCGUAACUUCGGGAGAAGGCACGCUGAUAUGUAGGUGAAGCGACUUGCUCGUGGAGCUGAAAUCAGUCGAAGAUACCAGCUGGCUGCAACUGUUUAUUAAAAACACAGCACUGUGCAAACACGAAAGUGGACGUAUACGGUGUGACGCCUGCCCGGUGCCGGAAGGUUAAUUGAUGGGGUUAGCGGUAACGCGAAGCUCUUGAUCGAAGCCCCGGUAAACGGCGGCCGUAACUAUAACGGUCCUAAGGUAGCGAAAUUCCUUGUCGGGUAAGUUCCGACCUGCACGAAUGGCGUAAUGAUGGCCAGGCUGUCUCCACCCGAGACUCAGUGAAAUUGAACUCGCUGUGAAGAUGCAGUGUACCCGCGGCAAGACGGAAAGACCCCGUGAACCUUUACUAUAGCUUGACACUGAACAUUGAGCCUUGAUGUGUAGGAUAGGUGGGAGGCUUUGAAGUGUGGACGCCAGUCUGCAUGGAGCCGACCUUGAAAUACCACCCUU
RNAcentral lists this ribosomal RNA (1844 nucleotides) under Escherichia coli. RNAcentral describes it as "partial 23S ribosomal RNA". It matches the Rfam family "Bacterial large subunit ribosomal RNA", at positions 375 to 2207 of the family's 2925-position model. Lineage: Bacteria; Pseudomonadati; Pseudomonadota; Gammaproteobacteria; Enterobacterales; Enterobacteriaceae. The record is from RNAcentral.